CCUACGGGAGGCUGCAGUAGGGAAUCUUCGGCAAUGGGGGGAACCCUGACCGAGCAACGCCGCGUGAACGAAGAAGUUACUCGUAAUUUAAAGUUCUUUUAACAGGGAAGAAAGAGUAAUUUGACGGUACCUGAAGAAUAAGCUCCGACUAAAUACGUGCCAGCAGACGCGGUAAUACGUAGGGAUCGUGCGUUAUCCGGAAGUAUUGGGCGAAAGGGGUGCGUAGAUGGCAUAGGAAGUCUUUAGUAAAAAUGCUGGGCUAAACCCAGGAGGGCAAAAGAUACUGCAAAGCUAGAGUAUGAAAGAGGCAAGUGGAACUACAUGUGUAGCGGUAAAAUGCGUAAAUAUAUGUAAGAACACCAGUGGCGAAGGCGGCUUGCUGGGUCAAUACUGACAUUGAGGCACGAAAGCGUGGGGAGCAAACAGGAUUAGAUACCCGAGUAGUC
Molecule: ribosomal RNA, 446 nt
Filed under: uncultured bacterium
Lineage: Bacteria
Description: partial 16S ribosomal RNA
Rfam family: Bacterial small subunit ribosomal RNA
Source: RNAcentral